GUGUCCGUAGCUCAAUUGGCAGAGCAUUAGGCUACGAACUUAAAGGUUGGGAGUUCAAAUCUCUUCGGGCACU
Molecule: transfer RNA, 73 nt
Filed under: Reclinomonas americana ATCC 50283
Lineage: Eukaryota; Jakobea; Jakobida; Histionidae
Description: tRNA-Arg
Rfam family: tRNA
About the family: Transfer RNA (tRNA) molecules are approximately 80 nucleotides in length. Their secondary structure includes four short double-helical elements and three loops (D, anti-codon, and T loops).
Source: RNAcentral